CACUAUCGUUAACUGAAUACAUAGGUUAACGAGGCGAACCGGGGGAACUGAAACAUCUAAGUACCCCGAGGAAAAGAAAUCAACCGAGAUUCCCCCAGUAGCGGCGAGCGAACGGGGAGCAGCCCAGAGUCUGAAUCAGCUUGUGUGUUAGUGGAACGGUCUGGAAAGUCCGACGGUACAGGGUGAUAGUCCCGUACACCAAAAUGCACAGGCUGUGAACUCGAAGAGUAGGGCGGGACACGUGGUAUCCUGUCUGAAUAUGGGGGGACCAUCCUCCAAGGCUAAAUACUCCUGACUGACCGAUAGUGAACCAGUACCGUGAGGGAAAGGCGAAAAGAACCCCGGCGAGGGGAGUGAAAAAGAACCUGAAACCGUGUACGUACAAGCAGUGGGAGCACCUUCGGGUGUGACUGCGUACCUUUUGUAUAAUGGGUCAGCGACUUAUAUUCUGUAGCAAGGUUAACCGUAUAGGGGAGCCGCAGGGAAACCGAGUCUUAACUGGGCGUUAAGUUGCAGGGUAUAGACCCGAAACCCGGUGAUCUAGCCAUGGGCAGGUUGAAGGUUGGGUAACACUAACUGGAGGACCGAACCGACUAAUGUUGAAAAAUUAGCGGAUGACUUGUGGCUGGGGGUGAAAGGCCAAUCAAACCGGGAGAUAGCUGGUUCUCCCCGAAAGCUAUUUAGGUAGCGCCUCGUGAACUCAUCUUCGGGGGUAGAGCACUGUUUCGGCUAGGGGGUCAUCCCGACUUACCAACCCGAUGCAAACUACGAAUACCGAAGAAUGUUAUCACGGGAGACACACGGCGGGUGCUAACGUCCGUCGUGAAGAGGGAAACAACCCAGACCGCCAGCUAAGGUCCCAAAGUCAUGGUUAAGUGGGAAACGAUGUGGGAAGGCACAGACAGCCAGGAUGUUGGCUUAGAAGCAGCCAUCAUUUAAAGAAAGCGUAAUAGCUCACUGGUCGAGUCGGCCUGCGCGGAAGAUGUAACGGGGCUAAACCAUGCACCGAAGCUGCGGCAGCGACACUAUGUGUUGUUGGGUAGGGGAGCGUUCUGUAAGCCUGCGAAGGUGACCUGUGAGGGUUGCUGGAGGUAUCAGAAGUGCGAAUGCUGACAUAAGUAACGAUAAAGCGGGUGAAAAGCCCGCUCGCCGGAAGACCAAGGGUUCCUGUCCAACGUUAAUCGGGGCAGGGUGAGUCGACCCCUAAGGCGAGGCCGAAAGGCGUAGUCGAUGGGAAACAGGUUAAUAUUCCUGUACUUGGUGUUACUGCGAAGGGGGGACGGAGAAGGCUAUGUUAGCCGGGCGACGGUUGUCCCGGUUUAAGCAUGUAGGCUGGUUAUCCAGGCAAAUCCGGAUAAUCAAGGCUGAGGUGUGAUGACGAGGCACUACGGUGCUGAAGUAACAAAUGCCCUGCUUCCAGGAAAAGCCUCUAAGCAUCAGGUAACAUCAAAUCGUACCCCAAACCGACACAGGUGGUCAGGUAGAGAAUACCAAGGCGCUUGAGAGAACUCGGGUGAAGGAACUAGGCAAAAUGGUGCCGUAACUUCGGGAGAAGGCACGCUGGUGUGUAGGUGAAGUCCCUGCGGAUGGAGCUGAGACCAGUCGAAGAUACCAGCUGGCUGCAACUGUUUAUUAAAAACACAGCACUGUGCAAACACGAAAGUGGACGUAUACGGUGUGACGCCUGCCCGGUGCCGGAAGGUUAAUUGAUGGGGUUAUCCGUAAGGAGAAGCUCUUGAUCGAAGCCCCGGUAAACGGCGGCCGUAACUAUAACGGUCCUAAGGUAGCGAAAUUCCUUGUCGGGUAAGUUCCGACCUGCACGAAUGGCGUAAUGAUGGCCAGGCUGUCUCCACCCGAGACUCAGUGAAAUUGAACUCGCUGUGAAGAUGCAGUGUACCCGCGGCAAGACGGAAAGACCCCGUGAACCUUUACUAUAGCUUGACACUGAACAUUGAGCCUUGAUGUGUAGGAUAGGUGGGAGGCUUUGAAGCGUGGACGCCAGUCUGCGUGGAGCCAACCUUGAAAUACCACCCUUUAAUGUUUGAUGUUCUAACGUUGGCCCCUGACCGGGGUUGCGGACAGUGUCUGGUGGGUAGUUUGACUGGGGCGGUCUCCUCCCAAAGCGUAACGGAGGAGCACGAAGGUUAGCUAAUCCUGGUCGGACAUCAGGAGGUUAGUGCAAUGGCAUAAGCUAGCUUGACUGCGAGCGUGACGGCGCGAGCAGGUGCGAAAGCAGGUCAUAGUGAUCCGGUGGUUCUGAAUGGAAGGGCCAUCGCUCAACGGAUAAAAGGUACUCCGGGGAUAACAGGCUGAUACCGCCCAAGAGUUCAUAUCGACGGCGGUGUUUGGCACCUCGAUGUCGGCUCAUCACAUCCUGGGGCUGAAGUAGGUCCCAAGGGUAUGGCUGUUCGCCAUUUAAAGUGGUACGCGAGCUGGGUUUAGAACGUCGUGAGACAGUUCGGUCCCUAUCUGCCGUGGGCGCUGGAGAAUUGAGGGGGGCUGCUCCUAGUACGAGAGGACCGGAGUGGACGCAUCACUGGUGUUCGGGUUGUCAUGCCAAUGGCACUGCCCGGUAGCUAAAUGCGGAAGAGAUAAGUGCUGAAAGCAUCUAAGCACGAAACUUGCCCCGAGAUGAGUUCUCCCUGAGACUUUAAGUCUCCUGAAGGAACGUUGAAGACGACGACGUUGAUAGGCCGGGUGUGUAAGCGCAGCGAUGCGUUGAGCUAACCGGUACUAAUGAACCGUGAGGCUUAACCUUACAACGCCGAAG
This 2770-nucleotide ribosomal RNA is filed under the name Klebsiella pneumoniae. RNAcentral's name for it is "bacterial LSU rRNA". It matches the Rfam family "Bacterial large subunit ribosomal RNA". Lineage: Bacteria; Pseudomonadati; Pseudomonadota; Gammaproteobacteria; Enterobacterales; Enterobacteriaceae. The record is from RNAcentral.